GACAGAGGUGCCGAGCGUUAGGCGGAAUCACUGGGCUUAAAGCGUGUGUAGGCGGGCCGUUAAGUAUCUUGUGAAAUCCCCCGGCUCAACCGGGGAAUGGCUGGAUAUACUGGCGGUCUUGAGCGAUCUAGGGGCAGAUGGAACAAGUGGUGGAGCGGUGAAAUGCGUAGAUAUCGUCUGGAACGCCGAAGGUGAAAACAGCUCGCUGGGGCUGCGCUGACGCUGAGACACGAAAGCCAGGGGAGCGAACGGG
This 253-nucleotide ribosomal RNA is filed under the name uncultured bacterium. RNAcentral's name for it is "partial 16S ribosomal RNA". It matches the Rfam family "Bacterial small subunit ribosomal RNA", at positions 524 to 776 of the family's 1533-position model. The record is from RNAcentral.